Molecule: ribosomal RNA, 1051 nt
Filed under: wastewater metagenome
Description: bacterial SSU rRNA
Rfam family: Bacterial small subunit ribosomal RNA
Source: RNAcentral
GGACUGAGAUACGGCCCAAACUCCUACGGGAGGCAGCAGUGGGGAAUAUUGCACAAUGGGCGGAAGCCUGAUGCAGCAACGCCGCGUGCGGGAUGACGGCCUUCGGGUUGUAAACCGCUUUCAGCAGGGACGAAGCGUGAGUGACGGUACCUGCAGAAGAAGCACCGGCUAACUACGUGCCAGCAGCCGCGGUGAUACGUAGGGUGCGAGCGUUGUCCGGAUUUAUUGGGCGUAAAGAGCUUGUAGGCGGUUUGUUGCGUCGGAAGUGAAAACUCAGGGCUUAACUCUGAGCCUGCUUUCGAUACGGGCAGACUUGAGGAAGGUAGGGGAGAAUGGAAUUCCUGGUGAAGCGGUGGAAUGCGUAGAUAUCAGGAGGAACACCAGUGGCGAAGGCGGUUCUCUGGACCUUUCCUGACGCUGAGAAGCGAAAGCGUGGGGAGCAAACAGGCUUAGAUACCCUGGUAGUCCACGCCGUAAACGGUGGGUACUAGGUGUGGGGGACAUUCCACGUUCUCCGUGCCGCAGCUAACGCAUUAAGUACCCCGCCUGGGGAGUACGGCCGCAAGGCUAAAACUCAAAGGAAUUGACGGGGCCCCGCACAAGCGGCGGAGCAUGCGGAUUAAUUCGAUGCAACGCGAAGAACCUUACCUGGGUUUGACAUAUGCCGGAAACAUCCAGAGAUGGAUGCCCCUUUUUGGUCGGUUUACAGGUGGUGCAUGGCUGUCGUCAGCUCGUGUCGUGAGAUGUUGGGUUAAGUCCCGCAACGAGCGCAACCCUCGUCCUAUGUUGCCAGCGGGUCAUGCCGGGGACUCAUAGGAGACCGCCGGGGUCAACUCGGAGGAAGGUGGGGAUGACGUCAAGUCAUCAUGCCCCUUAUGUCCAGGGCUUCACGCAUGCUACAAUGGCCGGUACAAAGAGUUGCGAGCCUGUGAGGGUGAGCGAAUCUCAAAAAGCCGGUCUCAGUUCGGAUUGGGGUCUGCAACUCGACCCCAUGAAGUCGGAGUCGCUAGUAAUCGCAGAUCAGCAACGCUGCGGUGAAUACGUUCCCGGG